UUUGAUCCUGGCUCAGAUUGAACGCUGGCGGCAGGCCUAACACAUGCAAGUCGAGCGGCAGCGACAACAUUGAACCUUCGGGGGAUUUGUUGGGCGGCGAGCGGCGGACGGGUGAGUAAUGCUUGGGAAUAUGCCUUAUGGUGGGGGACAACAGUUGGAAACGACUGCUAAUACCGCAUGAUGUCUACGGACCAAAGUGGGGGACCUUCGGGCCUCACGCCAUAAGAUUAGCCCAAGUGGGAUUAGCUAGUUGGUGAGGUAAUGGCUCACCAAGGCGACGAUCCCUAGCUGGUUUGAGAGGAUGAUCAGCCACACUGGGACUGAGACACGGCCCAGACUCCUACGGGAGGCAGCAGUGGGGAAUAUUGCACAAUGGGCGCAAGCCUGAUGCAGCCAUGCCGCGUGUGUGAAGAAGGCCUUCGGGUUGUAAAGCACUUUCAGUAAGGAGGAAAGGUUAAGUGUUAAUAGC
This 469-nucleotide ribosomal RNA is filed under the name HMWdDNA-degrading marine bacterium 42. RNAcentral describes it as "bacterial SSU rRNA". It matches the Rfam family "Bacterial small subunit ribosomal RNA", at positions 12 to 468 of the family's 1533-position model. The record is from RNAcentral.